UACGGAGGGUGCAAACGUUGCUCGGAAUCAUUGGGCGUAAAGCGUGUGUAGGCGGUUUGUUAAGUCGGGUGUGAAAGCCCUGGGCUCAACCCAGGAAGUGCAUUCGAAACUGGCAAACUUGAGUACGGGAGAGGGUCGCGGAAUUCCCGGUGUAGAGGUGAAAUUCGUAGAUAUCGGGAGGAACACCAGUGGCGAAGGCGGCGACCUGGACCGAUACUGACGCUGAGACACGGAAAGCGUGGGGAGCAAACAGGG
This 255-nucleotide ribosomal RNA is filed under the name uncultured bacterium. Its description in RNAcentral is "partial 16S ribosomal RNA". It matches the Rfam family "Bacterial small subunit ribosomal RNA", at positions 524 to 777 of the family's 1533-position model. The record is from RNAcentral.